AUUAAAGUGGCAGAUUGAAUGCAAGGAAUUUAAGCUUCCUUAAUGAAGUUUCCUUUAAU
Molecule: transfer RNA, 59 nt
Filed under: Ornithodoros savignyi
Lineage: Eukaryota; Metazoa; Arthropoda; Arachnida; Ixodida; Argasidae
Description: tRNA-Leu
Source: RNAcentral